Molecule: non-coding RNA, 87 nt
Organism: Pyronema omphalodes CBS 100304
Lineage: Eukaryota; Fungi; Ascomycota; Pezizomycetes; Pezizales; Pyronemataceae
Source: Rfam
GGUCGCUUAGCUCAGUUGGUUAGAGCGUGGUGCUAAUAAGCUCCCUUGAUAACGCCAAGGUCGCAGGUUCGACCCCUGCAGUGAUCA